GAUCAUUAGGUACUCAUCAAAAUUUCCAUACACAACAUUAUGUAUUUCAGCCGUCUACAGGAAAUUUUGCGCUAUCCGGCGUGAAAUUGCAGGCCCUUUAUGGGCUAGGUUUACAGCAGUAUUGCUGCAUGAAAAUCAUACUGUACCUGUUUUAUUGGAACCCGCCUUUAGUAUAUCAGAUGAUAUAUGUGGCAAUGCUAGCAUACUUACCUGGUACAGGGGCUACCGUGAUCAGGAACGGCGGUGCCCCCAGGUCGAGGCCUAACCAUUGCACUCCGGUCGGGCUGAACCCUGCGAUAAUCCCAAAUGCGGAUUACUCGGGUACGCUAUUUUUUAGUGUGGGGGUCUGCGUUCGCGCUAACCCCUGUU
Long non-coding RNA from Pecten maximus, 369 nucleotides. RefSeq lists it as uncharacterized. The transcript has 2 exons. The record is from RefSeq and is a predicted model, not a curated record. Lineage: Eukaryota; Metazoa; Mollusca; Bivalvia; Pectinida; Pectinidae.